This 468-nucleotide ribosomal RNA is filed under the name uncultured bacterium. RNAcentral describes it as "partial 16S ribosomal RNA". It matches the Rfam family "Bacterial small subunit ribosomal RNA", at positions 36 to 507 of the family's 1533-position model. The record is from RNAcentral.
GCCGCCCUCUUUCUUCUUUCUUAACACAUGCAAGUCGAACGGAAAGGCCCUGCUUUUGUGGGGUGCUCGAGUGGCGAACGGGUGAGUAACACGUGAGUAACCUGCCCUUGACUUUGGGAUAACUUCAGGAAACUGGGGCUAAUACCGGAUAGGAGCUCCUGCUGCAUGGUGGGGGUUGGAAAGUUUCGGCGGUUGGGGAUGGACUCGCGGCUUAUCAGCUUGUUGGUGGGGUAGUGGCUUACCAAGGCUUUGACGGGUAGCCGGCCUGAGAGGGUGACCGGCCACAUUGGGACUGAGAUACGGCCCAGACUCCUACGGGAGGCAGCAGUGGGGAAUAUUGCACAAUGGGCGGAAGCCUGAUGCAGCAACGCCGCGUGCGGGAUGACGGCCUUCGGGUUGUAAACCGCUUUCGCCUGUGACGAAGCGUGAGUGACGGUAAUGGGUAAAGAAGCACCGGCUAACUACGUG